UAGUGGCGCACGGGUGAGUAACACGUAGGUGACCUACCGAACAGUGGGGGAUAACCAGAAGAAAUUCUGGCUAAUACCGCAUACGUUGAACAAAUUUGAAAGUAGUUCAAGAAAGGAUGCCUCUGUAUAUGCAUUCGCUGAUUGAUGGGCCUGCGGGACAUUAGCUUGAUGGUGGGGUGACGGCCUACCUUGGCAACGAUGUCUAGCGGAUCUGAGAGGAUGAUCCGUCACACUGGAACUGAGACACGGUCCAGACUCC
Molecule: ribosomal RNA, 259 nt
Filed under: unidentified marine bacterioplankton
Lineage: Bacteria
Description: partial 16S ribosomal RNA
Rfam family: Bacterial small subunit ribosomal RNA
Source: RNAcentral